This 1054-nucleotide unclassified non-coding RNA is filed under the name Hevea brasiliensis (rubber tree). Lineage: Eukaryota; Viridiplantae; Streptophyta; Magnoliopsida; Malpighiales; Euphorbiaceae. The record is from RNAcentral.
UGGGGCACUGUUUUCAAAGACGUACAGUAUUCACGAAUCUUUUUCUAACUAAUAGUACUAAUUCUAUAAUCCUAAUUCUAACCUAAUCUACUUCGCCGGGCACAGAUUAGAUGCUGCCGUCGCCGUUCUCUAUCUCCGCCAAUGAAAUCUCUCACUUCCACUGCAGCUCUACUUCUUUCUACUUCUCCGCCGUCUUUACGAUCUUCUCUCUUACCAAGUCUUCGACCUCUUCUUUAUCGAGCUCGCCUCCGCAACAAGCUUAAUCUGAGAAGAUUGGGAAAUGGAACUUGCCGGGCAGAGUUUGCAAACGAUGUGCCUUACGCCGCUGCUAUUGGUGCUUGCAUUUUGAGCUCGUGGGUUUUCCCGACUACUUACACGGAGGAGGACGAUGGUGAAUCCACAAUUGAUUCUGCUGAUGCGAGGUUUGCUGUCAUGGCAAUUAUCAGCUUCAUUCCGUAUUUUAAUUGGAUGAGUUGGGUUUUUGCGUGGUUGGAUACUGGGAAACCACGUUAUGCAGUUUAUGCUCUUGUGUAUUUGGCUCCAUAUUUAAGCAACAACCUGUCUCUAUCUCCUGAAGAUAGCUUUCUACCCAUUGCUAGCAUCCUCUUGUGCAUCUUCCACAUUCAGCUGGAAGCAUUCCAAAAAGAUGGAAACUUUCAGGUAUUAGAUAAAUUUACGGAGACUGGAACUUCAAUUGCUGGGAAGAAAGAUGUAAGAAUGUCAGAAAAGGAGGAAACAUACGAUCUUAAGAAGUUGUCUUCAGCAGAUGAGAAAAGGAGUUGGGAAAUUUCUAGAAGACCUGAAAAUCGUGAGCACUUGAAUGAAGAUGGAGAAGAUCCUACUUCAAGGAAGCAUUAAUUUUACCUGUUUAAGGCUGAGUUUUGACGGGUCUAAUGCCAAUCCUUGGAAGGAGCACAAUCAUAUGCUGGUGUGUAACUGUGAAAGUAGUUCACUGACCAAACAAUAAGCAUCUUCUGUACACAACGGAUUGAUCUUAUCGUUCUAUGAUUCAACUCUACACCAAAUAUCUGAAUUGUCUCUUAUCAAAAUUUCG